RNAcentral lists this transfer RNA (72 nucleotides) under Schizophyllum commune H4-8. RNAcentral describes it as "tRNA-Trp (CCA) (tRNA-Trp-CCA-3-1, tRNA-Trp-CCA-3-2)". It matches the Rfam family "tRNA". From Rfam's summary of the family: Transfer RNA (tRNA) molecules are approximately 80 nucleotides in length. Their secondary structure includes four short double-helical elements and three loops (D, anti-codon, and T loops). The record is from RNAcentral. Lineage: Eukaryota; Fungi; Basidiomycota; Agaricomycetes; Agaricales; Schizophyllaceae.
GAACCCUUGGCGCAGUGGUAGCGCGUAUGAUUCCAGUCCAUAAGGUCGUCCGUUCGAUCCGGGCAGGGUUCA